Molecule: long non-coding RNA, 1436 nt
Organism: Megalobrama amblycephala (Wuchang bream)
Lineage: Eukaryota; Metazoa; Chordata; Actinopteri; Cypriniformes; Xenocyprididae
Exons: 3
Source: RefSeq, a predicted model, not a curated record
ACGCGACAACACACACAGCAGCCAAUGAAAUUGUUGUAUUUGAGACUAUAUUUGCAUAUGUGACGCGUUGGUACGUAUGGCCUGGUUGGUAUAAAUACAAACAUCAGAUGUCAUGUUUAUUCAUGAAGGAUGUCGUAAUGGUAUGCUGGUAUGCACGUAUACAAACAUCGAGGGAACAUUAGGCUUGUUUGAGAUGAGCAAAUUCUGCGCAGAACCGAUCACCGGUGAUCACCGCGAGAUGCAUGCCGGUUAGAAAUGUGUCCGAGGGUGGGCUGCCUUGCUCUGAUGUCAUGCCGACGUGUGUCAAAAACCUCUCGCGAGUGCGAGGCGGACGUGUCGGAUUCUGCAGUCGAGGUAUGGCAAGCCGUUUUAACAUUUAAAAGUUAAGUUCGACUAUCCGGAGUUAUCGUUGUAGAUAUCACCGACGUCUUUCUGACUAGUCGUAAUUACAUUUUGGAUAGUCGGAAUUGUCAUUCGAGAUAUCUGUAACGUAAUUGUGACUAGUCGAAACGACAGAUAGAGAUAUCUGCAAUGCAGUUUUGACUAGGCAAAACUGAAUUACAGAUAUCUGCAAUGACAUCAUUGAAAACGACAUUCAACUCGUCACACAUCUUAAAUGACAAUUGCAGAUAUCCGUAAUUCAGUUUUGCCUAGGCAGAAUGAAGGUUAAAGAUAUCUCAAACGUCAUUAUGAAUAGUGAUUAUGGCAUGGUGCCAAUCAGUGCUAAUUGCGAGUUAACAGGCGCGAUUUGAAUGAUUACACUGUAAUGAAUUGCUGUAAAAAUUACAGCAAUAUUUUAAAGCCGAUGGCUGUAUUUUAAUAAUACAGCAUAUUGCUGUAAACUGCAAUGAAUUCCGGGGGCGUGGCGGUUUGAAUCAAAUUUACAGAAUAUUGCUGUAAAUUUCAAAUAUACAGAGGCAUUGUGGGAUUUUCAACGGUCGAGAUUCGGGUAGCAGCAAGAGGAGUGAUUUACAACUGUGGCACUUUGUAGGUAUUUAUCCGGAGAGAGGAACAAAGACGAAAGGAAAAGUGCCAUCUAAAACAACAGGCCAGACAGUUCAGAAGAAACGGGUUGCGUUCAACCUACAUGUUGCCACUCUUCUGUGGAAAGUGAUGGAUUUUCAGUGGAAUUUCUGAAAUCCUCUCUUGACCAUCCUGGGAUGGAACAUCAUCUGGAGCAGAACUGUUCUUUUUUGAUCGCAAGUUUGUUGGACUUGUUGUUUGGCCAUGUUGGUCUGUUCAUGAAGUGAUAAAAAUGAUCCGGAUUUUAAGAAAUGUUUUUAUAUGACCCUAUUGGUCAAGUUAUAGUUAUAACUGUAUUUCAUUUUGUGAAGGGCCAUGAUGGCCAAUAAGUAAUUUAAAAACAUUUUCAUGACAAAAUUUUGUCCAUUUAAAAAAUAAAAUGAUUUUCUAAAUAAAAAAUAAAUUCAAAAUAA